CACACACACAGACACACACAAACACACACACAGUGAGAGGCUGGAGCAGCUACACAAGGUAAAUUGAACACAAUAAACACGGCUACACACACAAUCCUAGCUGCAGCAGAUGUACAAUGUUAUACAGACACACACAGACACAGCUGUACAGUGACACAGAGACGCACACACAAUCACAGCUGCAGCAUACACACUCUGAAAUGCAGGUGUAGAGCAGCGUGUAGUUGUGACUCUGUGUCUCUCUCCUCCCCCUCUCCUCUCCUCUCCUUACUUUGUUUAAAAGAAUAGAAGCACACCCAGUGAGCAAGGCAUUGAGCAGCCCCACAUCCCGCUUCACAAUACCGCUACAUAUUGACUGACUGUUCGCAUUGUGUGUGUUUGGUAAGACAAACCACAUUUUCUACUUCUACUUUCUACGAUUGGGCAAGUCAGCGGUUGUUUGAUAACAGAACAUAAAACAUCACAGAGUGGGUUGAACUGCAUUGCUGGAAAUCAAGGCCCUUUCAAAUGUGUACCUUCCCAGCUCAGGUAUUGCUGAGGUAAAGAGACACUUCCUACAGGAGGACAGGACGUUGUCAAGGAGGGGAUGUCGUCACGUGUCCUGAGGGCUUUCUUAAAAACAUUGUUUUAUUAUUUCUAAGCGUACGUUGUUAUUGCCUUUUAGCUCUUGAGCAUAAUAAUCUCAAUCCCGUUUGAAAUGACACUAAGUGCAUUUGCAUGGUGGCAGAUGAGGGAUGUCGCUUCACUCGAGGCUUGCGUACUGAUGAAGAUGUAGUUUCAGUGUUUAAUGCUCAUCCCCUCACUGUGUGUCUGUGUGUUCUUGUCUCUUGACAGGUCUGUGAGGAUGAGAAGGUCUCCACAGUCUGGAGUCUGAUCUCUGACAGCCUCAACAUACCUGUCAAUCAACAGGGACUCCUCUACAAAGGCAAGGCGCUGGCAGGUAGGCUGAACAGCACAGCACAGCACAGCACAGCACAGCACAGCUCACCCCUCCUCUCACCCCUCGCCUCAUCCCUCCUCUCACUCCUCGCCUCACCCCGGGUCAGUGUGGCACAGCCUGCCUGCUCUUCUAAACAAACACUUCAGCCCUGCCGACGCAGUGAGAGUCUGGAGCAGCAACACGAGGUGAUGAAGUGACACUUUGAAUAUGGGGCCUGAUGAGAGAAGUAUCCUUUUCAUGUGGUUUUGGUUUUGCUGUUGUGAGCAGGUAUGGGAGACAGCACCGUGUCUGCAUGUGAAAUAACAAAGUCAUCGCAGUGGAGGGACUCUCUGAAGGCUGCUGUUUGUGGAUUUGUCUUGUAAUAUUCCUGGAGUGUGUGGCUGUGUGCCUGAGUGACAUCCAGAACUUAAGAGAAGUCGUUUCAAUUCUGGUUCUUUCUUGAGGAGAGGUGCCUUGUAGUGGUCAAAGAAGUCCCCUGGGUCGACAUUGUCUACCUUUUAGGAUUUUGAAUGUUUGAAUCAGAUCGCCCUGUAGUCGUCUUUGUUCAAGACUGAAUAGAUUCAAUUCUUUUAGCCUGUCUGCAUAUGACAUGCCUUUUAAACCCGGGAUAAUUCUGGUUGCUCUUCUUUGCACUCUUUCUAGAGCAGCAAUAUCCUUUUUGUAACAAGGUGACCAGAACUGAACACAAUAUUCUAGGUGAGGUCUUACUAAUUCAUUGUAAAAUUUUAACAUUACUUCCCUUGAUUUACAUUCAACACUCCUCACAAUAUAUCCAAGCAUCUUGUUGGCAUUUUUUUUAUAGCUUCCCCACAUUGUCUAGAGGAAGACAUUUCUGAGUCAACAUAAACUCCUAGGUCUUUUUCAUAGUUCCCUUCUUCAAUUUCAGUAUCUCCCAUAUGAUAUUUGUAAUGCACGUUUUUAUUGCCUGCAGGCAAUACUUUACACUUUUCUCUAUUAAAUUUCAUUUGUCAUGUGUCUGCCCAGGUCUGAAUGCUGUCUAGAUCAUUUUGAAUGACUUUUGCUGCUGCAACAGUGUUUGCCACUCCUAUUUUUGUGUCGUCUGCAGAUUUAACAAGUUUGCUUACUAUACCAGAAUCUAAAUAAUUAAUGUAGAUUAGGAAUAGCAGAGGACCCAAUACUGAUCCCUGUGGUACACCACUGGUUACCUUGCUCCAUUUUGAGGUUUCUCCUCUAAGCAGUACUUUCUGUUUUCUACAUGUUUACCACUCCCUAAUCCAUGUGCAUGCAUUUGCAUCCAUGUGCAUCCCCUGGUCAGCUGUCCAGCUCACUGCUGCAGAAGUUUGUUUGGGGCUGGGACAAUGGACUUGUGUGUUUUAGCCAUUUGUUAAUCUUUGAAGAGGACCUGCAAGUUUGUCUUGCAGUCUUCCCUGCAAUAAUGAUGGACUUUAUUUAUUUGAGAAUCUGUGUUGGAAAAUGUACUUUUUGACGGUGAAGUUGUGUUUAAAAAAACAAGUAAAGGAAAUGUACAUGAUCUCUAACUCGCUAUUUGACAAAUAACAAUUUAAAAAAUGAAAGCAUGUGUGAUGCCUAUUUCCCUGCAAGCCCUUUUCUUUGCCCACUGGAGCACACAGCCUCUUAUGGGGGUUUGGAACCGCAAAUCACUGCAUCUUAAACACACAGCUCUAGAGUCCGUAACUACAGCAUGUACUGUACCGUUUAUUGUGUGUGUUUUAAUGAAGUCUGCUGCUGUACUUGUCUGGCUGUGAGCUUUUGCGUUACCAACAAACAAGGAAUUAAACAAAACAAAAGCAGCUCCGUUCUCAGCCUGGCGUGAGAUUGAUUUUUUUUUUUUUUUUUUUAUCUACAAUGGGAAGUGCUUUAGACUGAACAACCUCAAGCUCCCUUCAUCUUGUCACAGCUCUGCACUGUGAUAUAAAGUCUAUUUCCUGUACAUUGUCAUUAUUUUUUGUGUUUUAUUUAUUGUGAUUAUUAUUAUGAUUUUAAGAAUGUAUCGGAAAUGUCUUUGUUUUUGCACAGUGGUAAGGUUAGUCCGAGUCAUUACAAUGGGCAACUGAGCUGUGUUAAGAUAAAACUUUUUUUUUUUAAAUUAAAGAAAAUUAUCUUUAUUAAAAUCAACAGUUCUACUAAAUGGCCACACGAUGGCAGCAUUGAAUAAGGAAUAGCAAGAGCUUCGUUCUGCCUGUCUUCAUAAAGUGCACUGCCUGCUUUGCCCAUUGUUGUAACCUGCUUGACAAAGCCACGCUGAAUUAAUCAGCUCACUGGGGGUGGGGGUGUGUCUAUUUAUUAUUAUUUUCUUAGCAUGUGCCCUUAUCCAGCGCGACUUACAAUUGUUAUAAGAUAUCACAUUAUUUUUUACAUACAAUUCCCCAUUUAUAUAGUUGAGUUUUUUCUGGAGCAAUCUAGGUAAAGUACCUUGCUCAAGGGUACAGCAGCAGUGUCCCCCCCACCUAGGAUUGAACCCACAACCUUCCGGUCAAGAGUCCAGAGCCCUAACCACUACUCCACACUACUGCCCGUAUUUGUUUGACUCUGUCAAAGAUACAAUAGAAGUGACUCUUUUAUUUUAGCUAUUUUCAAGGCAGUAAUCGCCUCCAUGUUGUACAAAUCAUUAGUCCAGUUCAAGUCACAAAUGAGUGUAGUGGUACAGCUGGUAGGAUGGCUCAGUUGGUAGAGCACAGGGCCCUGAUUCCCAGGGUUGGUGGUCCAAACCCCAUUCACAAUGCCUGUU
Long non-coding RNA from Acipenser ruthenus (sterlet), 3650 nucleotides. RefSeq lists it as uncharacterized. The record is from RefSeq and is a predicted model, not a curated record. Lineage: Eukaryota; Metazoa; Chordata; Actinopteri; Acipenseriformes; Acipenseridae. The transcript is spliced from 4 exons.